AACGAACGCUGGCGGCAUGCUUAACACAUGCAAGUCGAACGAGACCGUCCGGUCUAGUGGCGCAGGGGUGAGUAACGAACGGGAACGUGCCACGAGGUUCGGAAGAACCCCCCUCAAGGGGUGCUAAUUCCGGGGAAUGUUAUUGCAGCAAGGACUUAUCGGUUUUGGAUGGGCCCGCGUUGGAUGAGCUAGUUGGUAGGGUAAAGGCCUACCAAGGCGACGAUCCAUAGCUGGUCUGAGAGGAUGAUCAGCCACACUGGGACUGGGACACGACCCAGACGCCGUCGGGAGGCAGCAGUGGGGAAUAUUGGACGCGGGGCGAAAGCCUGAUCCAGCAAUGCCGCGUGAGUGACGAAGGCCUUAGGGUUGUAAAGCUCUUUCACCCGGGAUGAUAAUGACAGUACCGGGAGAAGAAGCGCCGGCUAACUACGUG
RNAcentral lists this ribosomal RNA (433 nucleotides) under uncultured bacterium. Its description in RNAcentral is "partial 16S ribosomal RNA". It matches the Rfam family "Bacterial small subunit ribosomal RNA", at positions 29 to 507 of the family's 1533-position model. The record is from RNAcentral.